Molecule: non-coding RNA, 2174 nt
Organism: Physcomitrium patens
Lineage: Eukaryota; Viridiplantae; Streptophyta; Bryopsida; Funariales; Funariaceae
Source: RefSeq, a predicted model, not a curated record
CAGUGGGCUUCAGAAGGAGGCUCUGUGUGGCUGAGAGAGUCUGAGAGAGUGUAGGAAUGUAUGUAUUUGUGAGGGACAGUGGUUUGUCAAAGAUCUUCAGUAUGCUCACUCCAUUGCCGCUUGCCUCCCUGAACAUGGGCUUUGAUUUAAUUGCACACAUUUACACACACAAUCCCAGCUUCACAUGCACACACCGACAGAGUCGUUGCCAUUAUUCUCACACCACUGCUCUUGUGUUGUGUUGAAGCAGUAGCAGUAGUUCUGGUUUCAGUUGUGGGGGAGUAUUUGCAGCUGCCACCUUAGUCGGCAGCAUAGCCUUAGGGCCAUGGAAGUGCGAAUUGGGAUUGCGUUGCGUGAGCACACACUGUUUCUUGGUAGCCUCUUUUCUGGUAUGAGAUCGUCCCUGAAGUUGGUUGAUGGCGUCGUGACGAACAAGCCCAGUGCGCACUACACCAGCAUUUGUGUCACCUCUCUGCAGUAAGCUCUCAAGCUUUGACCCCAAAGCGGGAAGCAUCUCAGCCAAUACUUCAUCGAUUUUAUUCAACUUUUUUAUUUCUUUUUUGUAAUCAACUUGAUCGGAAGGAGUACUGUGAGAAACAUUCUAUCCUCGACGAGGUCCGAUACUUUCCACUCCCCUAAAUGUUUACAUACUAGCGGCAGUCACUGUUACAAUAUUCCGAACCUACGAAACAGGAUACUAGAUCCACAAUAACGAAUUUCAAUCUAAAGAAAAGGGAGAUUCUUACCUUUUGGUUUCUGGAGUCAGUCUUGACACACACAGAAGUGUAAUUACCACCACAAAGAAGACUCAGUAAGUUUGAGCAAGAAAUGAGGACCCAACUCUAAUAGCACUCUUUUGUACCUGUAAACCAGGUUAGAUUUAGUGCAGGGUACAAAUUUUUCUCUUACGGUGCACACAUGUCGGCAAUCAAAUGCUGUGGUUUUUAUAUAUUAUAUUUUAUUUUCUUCCUAAGUAUCUUGGUUGAAAUGCUGUGUUGAAGUUCAUUGUUGGUGGUAAUCAAUAGUUUGAAAAGUCAGUGGACAACGCGGUCUGUUUCGUGCCUUCGAAGCUAAAUUCUAUCCCACGUCUUAUGUCAUUUAAGUUUUUAUCUUCGUGGACAUGGAUUUCCUAACACCGCAAUGGGAUAUUAAGGUUUUGCAAUAUUGUUACGACUGGACUUUGCAGGCCCUCGAAGUAGUUGGACGUCUCAGAUGGUUAAUCCUCUCCAUCGUGUUAAUCCUCCACAACGUAGUAAAAAGUUUAGAUAAUUUUUUCAGAUGACCUGUGUCACUGACAUGAUGGGAUUGUAAUUCAAAAGUGCUGAAGUGAGCUGUGAACUUUGCGAACCCCGUAAACUGCCUGCAAGUUAUAAAUUUGCAUAUAUUCUGGUGUAGGGUUGAUGGAGGAGUAGGAGACAGACGUCGAACCACUGGGGCGGUUCCUCAACAGAGCCUAUGCGUCGUCCUCGAGGCAGUAUGGCCACAUAUCCAUCAGUGGGUCGCUUUGAAAACGAACAACGACCCACUUUCUAUGUUAAAUGCUGGUCGCCCAAGCUCCAUGAUCUUGUCGUGAGGAAGAGUAUGGCUCCUCGCAGCAAUCAUGGUCAGCUUACUGAACAGCCCACAGGUAUUGUGGAUCUAAGAACAGUUUCAUCGACAACAACUGAGGGCAAGGUAUGAAAUAUUUUAUGCCUGUUUGCCUUGUCCUCACAUUCUUGCCACUCGACCCACCUAGUUACCGUACCGUUUGCUAAGAGACAAGUGCGAUGCCAAAUGGUGAAAUAAAAACAAUUCAAGAUGUUCGUUACGUACCAGGCCUCGGUAGAAACCUUCUUUGUAUAGGUGAGAUUACAAACUCUGAAAAUCUUGUGUUAUUUAUCUAAUCUAUGUGCUUAGUAUUGACUUCACAAAGACCAUGCAAAACAAUUACCAUAGGUAGCAGAGAUUCUAAAAUCGGUCUCUAUAAGCUAUUUUCACUCAUUAGAAGUAUUGAAGCGUUCUAAGAAAGACCUCACAGUUUGAAACUCACUCCGUAAUUUCUAGCCCACUUGUAGUUUCAGUCUGUGGAAUAGAAAUAUAAACCAAAGAGCAAGAUCUUGCCAAAUUAUAGCAUGCAUAUUCGGGCCAUUUGAAUUACAACAAUCUAUUACAAAUGAGUAAACAAUCUUGUAGUA